UUACGGCAAUAUCACAUUGAAAUACCGGUUUCCGUACAAUCACCGGAGUUAAGCAACGUCGAACUUGGUCAGUCACGAGAUGGGUGACCACGUGAGAAUACCAAGUGCUGCAAU
This is a non-coding RNA of Acanthosepion pharaonis, 114 nucleotides long. Lineage: Eukaryota; Metazoa; Mollusca; Cephalopoda; Sepiida; Sepiidae. The record is from the annotation of a GenBank genome assembly.